RNAcentral lists this small RNA (151 nucleotides) under Parahoeflea olei. RNAcentral describes it as "Hoeflea olei Alphaproteobacterial sRNA ar7". It matches the Rfam family "Alphaproteobacterial sRNA ar7". The record is from Rfam by way of RNAcentral. Lineage: Bacteria; Pseudomonadati; Pseudomonadota; Alphaproteobacteria; Hyphomicrobiales; Rhizobiaceae.
UACCGGCGAAUGAAUAAGCCGAUGUCUGGAUUUGCGGCUCGUCCCCCGCCGCCACCCAGACCGAGGACAAGGGCCAUCCCCCCCGCCCCUUGCGGCCCUUGUCCGACCAAUAGGCCGCCAUGACCGUCCCCUCUGGUCAUGGCGGCUUUCU